UUUCUAUCUGAUUCUGUUUGGUUUGUGUUUCAUCCAGAAUAGUACCUUACAUAAGCACUUACAUCCGAUUUUUGAAACAGAUUUCUUGGCAAAUAUUGGGUAUGGUUAAGAGAAUACAUUCGGUGUCAUGCCAUGCACAAGACAGCUACAUUUCCUGGCCUCUAUGGCAAUCAGGUUGGGACCAGGUUGACAAGGUUCUGGCCAUUUGACAGAGGUGGAUGUGAUAUACGCCACUUACAAACCUGUUCCCAAAAUGUCCCACACUAUGUUCCACACUCUUUCUUUACUAGUUGGGCAAUCAGAUAGAAAAGAUCUAGGAGAGAACUUCAAGAAGGCUCUGGGGAGUUAUGGAGCUACAAGAUAGAAAGAGCCUGGAUCCCUGAGUCACAGCUAGGAGGAGAUUGCCCAAGAGAGCUGCCCAACUCAUAUUCACUGUGAGGUGAGGGAGAAAUGAAUCCUUGUUGCAUUAAGCCACAGAGAUUUGGGGGGUUCUUUGCUAUAGUAGCUAGUGUUAAUUAACCUAAUACAUUUUUAAAUUUCUUAGAAUAUAAUAAUGGCUACAUAAAUGUUGAUUUUUAUAGCUUAUUGUUCUAUCCACUAAUAUUUAUUGUGUCUUACAGGUAAUAUUGUAUGUUUCCCACAACACCUUAGGUGGGUGCCCAGGCCUUGCUCUCUCUCACCAGAAGGCCUUUAUCGAUGUUGUUUUCUCUGGCUUACCUGUUCCUUCUUCCCCUCUCCACAUAGUCAACACUACUUAUCAUUAAGGUCAAAGCUCAGGCGUGCUCCUACUCAUCAAAACCCUCCCUAGCUCCCUAGACUAGAUCAGUGUUCCCUAUUACAUGAUCUCAUAAAUCCCUAAACAUCUCCUAUGGGGUACUUAUGACAGUUUGUCAUUGCAUGACUAUGUAAUUCUUUGGUGAGCAUCUCUCUUCCUCAACAUAGAAUAAGCACCAAGACUGCAGGGGCCAUCUUAUCCGAUUCGCUGUGAUAUUCCCUGGGCCUAGCCCGAUGCCUGGCUACAAGAUGUGCUCAAAACGUAUUUGACUGUACGGGUGUAUCUGCACAGGAUGGGCCUCACAGGCUUUCUGCCUCUUAGUGAGGUCAACUGUCAGUGUUAAAUCUGGUCUUUAUCUUCACAAGUUUAGAAACUUAAUUUUUCAUGGAAGCCCAGCACCUGGAACAUGAUUCCUGAUAACUACACUUAGGGGAUAUCUACUUCCUGACUGUGAGGUCCCUGGGAAAGUAAGUUAGUGAGCAUUCAGAGCACAUUUGAUGACUAAAGAAAGAGGAUGGUUUUGAGAGGAAUUCACUUCUCUUAGGCUGGAAAAUUAACCUUGCUUUCUUAAAGAGUGCAUGUUUCUUCUAGACAUAGCUUUUUUCUCCCACCAUUAGAUCCAUUAAAAUCAUGCUUAGUAAGGCCGUGGCAUAUAAUAAGAGCUCAGUAAAUAUCUGAAUACAUAUCUGUGGGUCUCACUGGUUGAAUGACUGACAAAUGGUCUUAUGCUUUGGCUCUCCAUUUCUAGACCCCAUGUAGUGAUUGCCUUUUGUUACAGCAUCACUUGUCCCUGGAUUUCUACCAUAGAAGUUUGAGAAGAACUAGUGAAUGUGAGCCAGACCUACAAGAUCAUAAAUUCCUUGCAGUUAAGAAUCAUCAUCAAAGAGAAAAAGAAAAUCAUUAUCAUCAUCAUCAGAGCCAACACUUUUCAUGUACUUAUCCAAACCAGGCACUGUGCUGAGCCCUUUACAACUGUCAUCUCAUUAAUCCUUAUAACAAUCAUAAGGUGGCAUUUUCUGACCCACCUUGGAGAUGCGCCCUUUGAGGAGCCUGCAGCCUCCUGCACCUGAAGAAAGUGGCCCACUCAUGAAAACGCCCAGGCUCCCAGUUGGGGAGAACCAUCUCCACCAGAGGGGGAUCCAGAUCCAGUGGAGAAGAAUUUUUUUUAUUGUUUUUAGAUAAACUGUCUUCAAAUAGUGCAGCACGGGCACUUCCUGCCUCGAUGGAAAUUCAGCACACUUCCUGCUGCUCACCUGCCCCAUCUGUGUUUAUCUUCUGCCUCAAUCAUGUGAAGGCCAAAUGGGUGGCAUGAGUGCAACUGGGCCAGCUGUGGCUGGGGGCAGCAACAGCUCCAUGUUUUGAGGCCAGAUGGAGGCUGCUUUGGUCUAGGAGGUGGAGGGGAGCCAGUGGCUGCUUCAGGCCUCCCUGUGUGGAGUGCUUGGAGCUGGAAGUAGAAGCAGGGCCCAACUGGGGGCUCCAUUGGAUGAAGCACACCAUCCCAUCCAAAAGCCUGCUCCCAAUGUCCUCACUGAGCUCUCUUUGUUUCUUUCUGUUUCUUCUAUAUGUAUACAUAUCAAAUAUGUGUGUGUGUGUGUGUCUAUGUAUGUGUGUGAAACAGAAAGAAGCAAAGAGUCCUUUGCACUUUAUCAAAGGUACUCUACUAAUUCCUUUACACUUUUAUCAAAGAUAUUCACUUGUCAGGGACACUAGAGCAGUGUCCAGGCUGCAUGUAACAUCAGCUGGGAAGCUUUUAUAAAUUAAAACAACUAUAAAAUAGUUGCAGGCAUUUUCAAGUUUUUAUUAAGCCUCAUAAAAACUUGAAAAUGUCUAUAAGACACCUACACUACAGGUCUCCAUGGCUCUCUGCAAAACAUGACCAAGCUCAAAAAGACACACAAGGUUAGAAGACACCACAGAUUUGGCAACAGCCCAUGAUCCUUGGGUUUAUCUCCCCUCAGAGUGGCUCCUUAAAGUGACACUGGCACUUUUCUGAAACGCUUUCCUGCAGGUUCUUGAGCACACUCUAAUGGAAGCUCUCUCUCAGAAUUAUGCACAUGAGAGUGUCAUUGUAGAAUGCUUUUUAGCAUAUCCACCACAGGUAUAAUGAAACACAGGCUACAUACUGAUAAAAUGGAAGGACCAAAUGAAACAAGCCUAUUCAUACACAUUUCUGUGUCUCUUUGCAUCUGUGGUUUUCAGACUUUAGUGUGCAUCAGAAUCGCCCAGAGGACUUGUUAAAACACAGAUUGCUAGGCCGCACCCCAGAGUUUCAGAUUCAGUAGGUCUGAGAUGAGGCCCCAGGAGCUGCAGCAAGUAAAACGGGCAGCAACAGCUACUGCGUCACCUGAGGCCCAUUUGCGACAGUCUCUGCUCUGUGUGAUAAAAAAGAUCACAUUUUCCUUUCCUCUAGGUCUGAUGUGAGGCUGGCUUGUUUUACAUUGGGCAUCUCUGAGAAAGUAUCAGGAAAAAGGCAGACAAAGCAGAAGUGCCUGAAAUGAUAUUUAUUAAUUUGGAUUCUGAGUAGCUAAAUUGAAACUUGAUUGUGCCCUUACCCCUAGCUCCUCCUGGGCCUGGAGCAAGGACAGGCUACGUCUGAGGCAGCAGGCAUUGGAAGGAGUAGGAUCGGGUUAGGGCUAGUUUUAGGGCAAAUGAGGUACCUCCAUCCUUACCGUCCAGCUAUGUAGUAACAAAUUAGCCUCUUCUAGAUGGUCUGAAGUCUAUUAUAUAAAGUUUGGCUUGUAUAAGUGUUUCUAAAAGUGUUUUAACAUGAAAAAUUUUAAACACAUGGAAACUUACGAAGAAUAGUACAAUGAACACCUAUAUAUACCCAGGAACAAAAUUCAAUUAUUAUUAAAAUUUUGCUUCUUGUUUCUUGGCUCACUACAACCUCUGCAUCCCAGGUUCAAGUGAUUCUUGUGCCUCGAGCCUCCCGAAUAGCUGAGAUCAUGGGCAUGCACCACCACAACCCUGCUAAUUUUUGUAAUUUUUUAAUAGAGACAGGGUUUCUCCAUGUUGGCUAAGCUGGUCUCAAACCCCUGGCCUCAAAUGAUCCACCCACCUCAGCCUCCCAAAGUGCUGGGGUUACAGGCGUGAGCCACUGCGCCUGGCCCAUUUGUUUCAUUUAUAUAUAUGAUCUAUAUUUUUUGCUGACAUCAUCUCCAAAAAAGUAAGGACAUCUGCACAGUCACAAUGUCAUUAUCACCUAAACAUUAACAGUAUUCCCCAAUAUUGCCUUAUAUCAUCUCUUCCUUUUAUCCCCAAAAUGUUUUAUGGAUAUUGUUUCUUUGAGUCACACACAGAACCUAGGCAAGGUCAGGGCCAGGGUGAUAUGGGUUAAAAGGACUCCAGAAAACUCAGUAAUCAAGAGUAAUAAUAUUGUAAUGCAAUAUUUCAAAAAGUCCAAUUGGCUAACUACAGCCCAUAGGCCAGCUGCGUGUUUUUGCAGGAAAAGUUUUAUGGGGCUGGGAUUAGCAUGAGAUAAGUGAGGCAGGGUUGUACAAAUGUAGG
This 4282-nucleotide long non-coding RNA is filed under the name Homo sapiens (human). Its description in RNAcentral is "HSALNT0238798". The record is from RNAcentral. Lineage: Eukaryota; Metazoa; Chordata; Mammalia; Primates; Hominidae.